RNAcentral lists this ribosomal RNA (429 nucleotides) under Gemmatimonadota bacterium. Its description in RNAcentral is "Gemmatimonadetes bacterium partial 16S ribosomal RNA". It matches the Rfam family "Bacterial small subunit ribosomal RNA", at positions 355 to 776 of the family's 1533-position model. The record is from RNAcentral. Lineage: Bacteria; Pseudomonadati; Gemmatimonadota.
UAGGGAAUCUUCGGCAAUGGACGAAAGUCUGACCGAGCAACGCCGCGUGAGUGAAGAAGGUUUUCGGAUCGUAAAACUCUGUUGUUAGAGAAGAACAAGGACGUUAGUAACUGAACGUCCCCUGACGGUAUCUAACCAGAAAGCCACGGCUAACUACGUGCCAGCAGCCGCGGUAAUACGUAGGUAGCAAGCGUUGUCCGGAUUUAUUGGGCGUAAAGCGAGCGCAGGCGGUUUCUUAAGUCUGAUGUGAAAGCCCCCGGCUCAACCGGGGAGGGUCAUUGGAAACUGGGAGACUUGAGUGCAGAAGAGGAGAGUGGAAUUCCAUGUGUAGCGGUGAAAUGCGUAGAUAUAUGGAGGAACACCAGUGGCGAAGGCGGCUCUCUGGUCUGUAACUGACGCUGAGGCUCGAAAGCGUGGGGAGCAAACAGG